GUUUGAUCCUGGCUCAGGACGAACGCUGGCGGCGUGCCUAAUACAUGCAAGUAGAACGCUGAAGUCUGGUGCUUGCACUAGACGGAUGAGUUGCGAACGGGUGAGUAACGCGUAGGUAACCUGCCUCAUAGCGGGGGAUAACUAUUGGAAACGAUAGCUAAUACCGCAUAACAGUAUUUACUGCAUGGUAGAUACUUGAAAGGAGCAAUUGCUUCACUAUGAGAUGGACCUGCGUUGUAUUAGCUAGUUGGUGAGGUAACGGCUCACCAAGGCAUCGAUACAUAGCCGACCUGAGAGGGUGAUCGGCCACACUGGGACUGAGACACGGCCCAGACUCCUACGGGAGGCAGCAGUAGGGAAUCUUCGGCAAUGGGGGCAACCCUGACCGAGCAACGCCGCGUGAGUGAAGAAGGUUUUCGGAUCGUAAAGCUCUGUUGUAAGAGAAGAACUGUGAGAAGAGUGGAAAGUUUCUCACUUGACGGUAUCUUACCAGAAAGGGACGGCUAACUACGUGCCAGCAGCCGCGGUAAUACGUAGGUCCCGAGCGUUGUCCGGAUUUAUUGGGCGUAAAGCGAGCGCAGGCGGUUUGAUAAGUCUGAAGUAAAAGGCUGUGGCUUAACCAUAGUACGCUUUGGAAACUGUCAAACUUGAGUGCAGAAGGGGAGAGUGGAAUUCCAUGUGUAGCGGUGAAAUGCGUAGAUAUAUGGAGGAACACCGGUGGCGAAAGCGGCUCUCUGGUCUGUAACUGACGCUGAGGCUCGAAAGCGUGGGGAGCGAACAGGAUUAGAUACCCUGGUAGUCCACGCCGUAAACGAUGAGUGCUAGGUGUUGGGUCCUUUCCGGGACUCAGUGCCGCAGCUAACGCAUUAAGCACUCCGCCUGGGGAGUACGACCGCAAGGUUGAAACUCAAAGGAAUUGACGGGGGCCCGCACAAGCGGUGGAGCAUGUGGUUUAAUUCGAAGCAACGCGAAGAACCUUACCAGGUCUUGACAUCCCGAUGACCGCCCUAGAGAUAGGGUUUCUCUUCGGAGCAUCGGUGACAGGUGGUGCAUGGUUGUCGUCAGCUCGUGUCGUGAGAUGUUGGGUUAAGUCCCGCAACGAGCGCAACCCCUAUUGUUAGUUGCCAUCAUUCAGUUGGGCACUCUAGCGAGACUGCCGGUAAUAAACCGGAGGAAGGUGGGGAUGACGUCAAAUCAUCAUGCCCCUUAUGACCUGGGCUACACACGUGCUACAAUGGCUGGUACAACGAGUCGCAAGUCGGUGACGGCAAGCUAAUCUCUUAAAGCCAGUCUCAGUUCGGAUUGUAGGCUGCAACUCGCCUACAUGAAGUCGGAAUCGCUAGUAAUCGCGGAUCAGCACGCCGCGGUGAAUACGUUCCCGGGCCUUGUACACACCGCCCGUCACACCACGAGAGUUUGUAACACCCGAAGUCGGUGAGGUAACCUUUUAGGAGCCAGCCGCCUAAGGUGGGAUAGAUGAUUGGGGUGAAGUCGUAACAAGGUAGCCGUAUCGGAAGGUGCGGCUGGAUCACCUCCUUUCUA
RNAcentral lists this ribosomal RNA (1542 nucleotides) under Streptococcus suis TL13. RNAcentral describes it as "bacterial SSU rRNA". It matches the Rfam family "Bacterial small subunit ribosomal RNA". The record is from RNAcentral. Lineage: Bacteria; Bacillati; Bacillota; Bacilli; Lactobacillales; Streptococcaceae.